This 1695-nucleotide long non-coding RNA is filed under the name Androctonus crassicauda. Lineage: Eukaryota; Metazoa; Arthropoda; Arachnida; Scorpiones; Buthidae. The record is from RNAcentral.
AUUAAAGUAAAUAAUGUAGAAUACUAUAAUUUAAUUUUAAUAAAGAAAUUUAUUAAAUUUAUAUAACAAAUUAUAAUUUGAAAACGUUUUCGGUUUCGCAGUCAGAAGUCCAGAAUAUUUUAUCUAUUUUUAGUAUACUCGGGUUGAAGGAAAGGGAAACUAAAAGUCAACAUCACAUUCCUCUUAAUGACUGUUGAACCCUUUGAUAUAGAAUUUGAUGAAAAUUUACAAGUGAAAUAUAGGGUAGUGGAUGAUGAGCGGAAUUUUUAAUCUACUUAUAACUGUUUCAAAAUGGCUCUCCCGUAAGUUAUGUAAAAGAAUGAAGUUUUGGAAGGAUUUCUGAUUAUCUAGCAUUGGCCUAUACGGUUGGGUGAGAAUAGACUAAUCGAAAACUAUCAAAAUUUCUAAUAUAUAAUAAUUAAAAACUAUUAUAUUAUGUUUGCAGAAAUUAAUGCUAAAUAAUUUCCAAGAUUCUUGGAUUAUGGUCAAAUAGCACUAGGAUAUACGAUGGUGGUACUUUAUAGCCCAUGGGCUAUCAGCAAACUUGGUUAUAAGGAUGGCUCUAUAGUGAAAGGAUGGAAUUUUUUUAUGUGACUUUCCAUCCGAUGAAUAAUAAACAGCAAAGCAUUCUGGUACCGAUCUGUGAUGGAAUCAAUCGUCAGAUGGAAGAUAGGAUUCAACCAGUUGGGAUAGGAUCCCUUCUGAGAAAAUCCUGGGAGUAUGAGGCCGGGAAAUGAAGUGUAUUAGCACAGUCAGCUUCCAUUAAGGUUUUCCGGCUGACAGAAAAAUUUGGAAGUGUAAGACACAGAGCCUUCCGGGUGGAAGUUUAGCAGGCUUCUACAUCUUCAUUCAAUCUUUAUAAAUAAUUUAAAAACAUUCGUUUAUUUUAACAGUAUUUUAUAUUAUGAGAUAGCGAGCCUACUCAUAGGUUUACUUAAUCCUUUGAAGAAUGAAGGAGGAAGUGCGUCUAUAGUUUGUUAAUUUUGGAUUAAGCCGCCAAAUCACACAAUACAUACUUGGGCGGCCACUACUUGUAGCGCCCAUUAUAGGCAUGCCAUUACUGAUAAUGGGGUCGACCGGAAAGUUGAAGGAUGAAAUUCAACGAGCCGGAAUUCGGACCUCUUCUAAAUAUCGAUGUAUGGAGACUAGAAUUGAAUUUGGAUCUUCCAAGCGACUACUUUACCAUUUCAGUUUUAUUAUGUCGUACCAAAAGAGGUAUGGCCGACCAUUAGCGAAAAAAGAAGGCAUCCUUUUUACUCGUUUCUAACUACAUUCGAAUCAAAUGAUAGGUGAAUUCUACCUAUAGAGGAAUUAUUUUGUCGUCUGUCUGAUGGCACCUGUUAUGCUUGGUCCAGCUCUCCGAAGAAUCCGUGUUUAAUUAUGGAUUCUAUACACAAUUUUUUUCAAGCUAGAUCCGAGUUCGACCUCCGACCCUAGUGAUUCAUUCUUUAUCCGACGUCCAGAAUCACCAGGGCUGUAAAUGAGCCGUGGUGGAGAUGGAACAUUCUACCGACAACCACAUAAAACUAGAAAGAAAACAAUGCUUUCGUAUAAUUGAGACAAACAAAUAAUUGUUUCCUAAAAUUUUAUUUGGAAAAAAGUUUUAAGUUAUGUCUGAAAACUGAAUUUUUGAUGCUAACAUUUAAACAUAUAUAUAUAUAUAUAGAAUCCAGGCAUUAGAACCAAGUACUAAAA